GACGAACGCUGGCGGCGUGCUUACACAUGCAAGUCGCACGGAAAGGCCCUGCUUUUGUGGGGUGCUCGAGUGGCGAACGGGUGAGUAACACGUGAGUAACCUGCCCUUGACUUUGGGAUAACUUCAGGAAACUGGGGCUAAUACCGGAUAGGAGCUCCUGCUGCAUGGUGGGGGUUGGAAAGUUUCGGCGGUUGGGGAUGGACUCGCGGCUUAUCAGCUUGUUGGUGGGGUAGUGGCUUACCAAGGCUUUGACGGGUAGCCGGCCUGAGAGGGUGACCGGCCACAUUGGGACUGAGAUACGGCCCAGACUCCUACGGGAGGCAGCAGUGGGGAAUAUUGCACAAUGGGCGGAAGCCUGAUGCAGCAACGCCGCGUGCGGGAUGACGGCCUUCGGGUUGUAAACCGCUUUCGCCUGUGACGAAGCGUGAGUGACGGUAAUGGGUAAAGAAGCACCGGCUAACUACGUG
RNAcentral lists this ribosomal RNA (467 nucleotides) under uncultured bacterium. RNAcentral describes it as "partial 16S ribosomal RNA". It matches the Rfam family "Bacterial small subunit ribosomal RNA", at positions 28 to 507 of the family's 1533-position model. The record is from RNAcentral.